UCAUAGCGGUCAGGCUUGUAGGCCCGCCCUCUUGCAUAGGGCCGGUUUCCAACCCGGCCGGCCUCUGUGGUGCUGACCGCGGCCUUGGC
RNAcentral lists this transfer RNA (89 nucleotides) under Pusillibacter faecalis. RNAcentral describes it as "Oscillibacter sp. MM59 tRNA-Ala". Lineage: Bacteria; Bacillati; Bacillota; Clostridia; Eubacteriales; Oscillospiraceae. The record is from RNAcentral.